RNAcentral lists this ribosomal RNA (469 nucleotides) under uncultured bacterium. RNAcentral's name for it is "partial 16S ribosomal RNA". It matches the Rfam family "Bacterial small subunit ribosomal RNA", at positions 29 to 523 of the family's 1533-position model. The record is from RNAcentral.
AACAAACGCUUGCGGCGUGCCUAAUACACGCAAGUCGAACGAUGUAGCAAUACCUAGUGGCGCACGGGUGGGUAACGCGUGGAUAAUCUGCCUUUGAGUGGGGGAUAACUAGUCGAAAGAUUAGCUAAUACCGCAUAAGACCACAGGAACUGAGGUUCUAGGGGUUAAAGGUUUUUCGCUCAUAGAUGAGUCCGCGUGAGAUUAGCUAGUUGGUGAGGUCACGGCUCACCAAGGCGACGAUCUCUAACUGGUCUGAGAGGAUGAUCAGUCACACUGGAACUGAGACACGGUCCAGACUCCUACGGGAGGCAGCAGUAGGGAAUAUUGCACAAUGGAGGAAACUCUGAUGCAGCGACGCCGCGUGAGUGAUGAAGGCUUUCGGGUCGUAAAGCUCUGUCGCAGGGGAAUAACACAAUGAAUGUACCCUGUAAGAAAGGAUCGGCUGACUUCGUGCCAGCCGCCGCAGUAA